Molecule: long non-coding RNA, 1302 nt
Filed under: Nicotiana benthamiana
Lineage: Eukaryota; Viridiplantae; Streptophyta; Magnoliopsida; Solanales; Solanaceae
Description: long non-coding RNA (NBEN_LNC019682)
Source: RNAcentral
AGUGUAUACAAAACACUUACACUCACUUAAACAGAACUCUUUUUGUAGAGUAGAUAUGAGUAAACAAGUACGCUCAAGAACACAACAAUAAAUUCAAGAAAUGGCUUCUCAAAAGCAAUUAAUAAUAUGAAAUGAAUGAAGAAUGUUUGGAAGCUUGUAUAUGAUAUUUGCUCAGAUUGUUGUGUAUCAAAUGAGAGUUUUUGGGGUGUAUUUAUAGCCGCAAAAACUCUUGUAUCCGUUGCUAAAUGAUUGAACAAUUUGUCAAAAAUCUGCAGCGAUAAUCGAUUAUCGUAGGACGAUAAUCGAUUAACCUUUCAAAAAUAUAAACGUUGAAAGGCAACGGAUACUAAGAUAAUCGAUUAACCUAUGUCAGAUAAUCGAUUAUUUCAAUGAUAAUCGAUUAUCGCACUUUAGAUAAUCGAUUAACUUAAUUGAAAAACUAGACGUUGAGAAAUAACGGAUAAACGAUAAUCGAUUAUUGUUUGUAAGAUAAUCGAUUAUCUCACCUUGCGUAAAAUCGUCCAGUUUAAUGAAAUAUUAGAUAAUCGAUUAUCUCCUCACGAUAAUCGAUUAACUCAGUGGAAAAAAGAAAGACACUUUUAAUAACCUUUUUGGUUCAAUUUAAAACAUGAAAAUCAAUUUAUUCCAAGAGUAUAAAGAUUAUUUAUGAUAUGCAUAUGUUUUAUGAAAAUAAUUUUUGGAGAGAAGCCAAGACUUAAAAUUAGAGUAGGAUCAAGAUCACAAAUAUAAAUAAGACUCAAAAUAAAGGUCUUCAUUUACACUUUAAAACAAGAAAAUCAAUUUAUUCCAAGAGUAUAAAAAUUAUUUUUGAUAUGCAUAUGUUUUAUGAAAAUAAUUUUUGGAGAGAAGCCAAGACUUAAAAUUAGAGUAGGAUCAAGAUCACAAAUAUAAAUAAGACUCAAAAUAAAGGUCUCCAUUUAUUUUCAUUGCUUCAUUGCUUCUCUUGAUCUUUUCUUGAACUUCUUGUUUUUGUACUCCAACUUUGUUCCGUUAAUUGAUUGCAUAUCAUCUCUACAAAACAAAUAUACUUUAGUAUAAACAAAAGUAUAUCUCAAUAAUAACUUACGAUUAUUUGGCAUGUAUAAUAUUUUCCAUCUUCAUCGGUUUGUCAUUUAUCAAAACCUAUACAUAUGAACACGUAUAAACAAAAGUAUAUCUCAAUAAUAACUUACGAUUAUUUGGCAUGUAUAAUAUUUUCCAUCUUCAUCGGUUUGUCAUUUAUCAAAACCUAUGCAUAUGAACACAUUAGUUUUAACAACAUAAUAAAUGUGUUCUAUCAAG